Molecule: ribosomal RNA, 466 nt
Filed under: uncultured bacterium
Lineage: Bacteria
Description: partial 16S ribosomal RNA
Rfam family: Bacterial small subunit ribosomal RNA
Source: RNAcentral
GAUGAACGCUGGCGGCGUGCUUAACACAUGCAAGUCGAACGAUGAAGCCCAGCUUGCUGGGUGGAUUAGUGGCGAACGGGUGAGUAACACGUGGGUAACCUGCCCUUAACUCUGGGAUAAGCCUGGGAAACUGGGUCUAAUACCGGAUAGGAGCGUCCACCGCAUGGUGGGUGUUGGAAAGAUUUAUCGGUUUUGGAUGGACUCGCGGCCUAUCAGCUUGUUAGUGGGGUAAUGGCUCACCAAGGCGACGACGGGUAGCCGGCCUGAGAGGGUGACCGGCCACACUGGGACUGAGACACGGCCCAGACUCCUACGGGAGGCAGCAGUGGGGAAUAUUGCACAAUGGGCGCAAGCCUGAUGCAGCGACGCCGCGUGAGGGAUGACGGCCUUCGGGUUGUAAACCUCUUUCAGUAGGGAAGAAGCGAAAGUGACGGUACCUGCAGAAGAAGCACCGGCUAACUACGUG